RNA transcript from Amphiprion ocellaris (clown anemonefish), 4246 nucleotides. It is a transcript of the gene named MTOR associated protein, LST8 homolog (S. cerevisiae), with no coding region annotated. The record is from RefSeq and is a predicted model, not a curated record. The transcript is spliced from 9 exons. NCBI's taxonomy places the organism in Eukaryota, Metazoa, Chordata, Actinopteri, Pomacentridae.
AACCAGCAUGAAUGUGAACCAGGGGACGGUGGGCAGCGACCCGGUCAUUCUGGCCACGGCUGGAUACGACCACACUGUCCGCUUCUGGCAGGCCCACAGCGGGAUCUGCACCAGGACAGUCCAGCACCAGGACUCUCAAGUGAAUUCACUUGAGGUCACACCUGACAGAAGUAUGAUCGCUGCUGCAGGUUAUCAGCACAUCCGCAUGUACGACCUGAAUUCUAACAAUCCAAACCCGGUCAUCAACUAUGAUGGAGUCAGCAAGAACAUCACAUCUGUGGGCUUUCAUGAAGAUGGACGUUGGAUGUACACGGGAGGAGAGGACUGCAUGGCGCGCAUAUGGGACCUGAGGUCAAGAAAUCUGCAGUGUCAGAGGAUCUUCCAAGUAAAUGCUCCAAUCAACUGUGUGUGUCUGCAUCCCAAUCAGGCAGAGCUGAUUGUCGGAGACCAGAGUGGAGUGAUUCAUAUCUGGGAUCUAAAGACGGACCACAACGAACAGCUGAUUCCUGAGCCAGAAGUUUCAAUCAACUCCGUUCACAUUGACCCAGAUGCCAGUUACAUGGCAGCAGUCAACAGCUCGGGGAACUGUUAUGUGUGGAACCUUGCUGGAGGCAUCGGCGAUGAAGUGACUCAGCUCAUUCCCAAGACUAAGAUUCCUGCACACAAACGCUACUCUCUUCGCUGCAAGUUCAGCCCCGAUUCUACACUACUGGCCACCUGUUCAGCAGACCAGACCUGUAAGAUCUGGAGGACGUCCAACUUCUCGCUGAUGACAGAACUCAGCAUCAAGAGCAAUAAUCCUGGAGAGACGUCCAGAGGCUGGAUGUGGGACUGUGCUUUCUCCGGAGACUCUCAGUAUAUUGUUACCGCGUCCUCAGAUAACCUGGCUCGCCUGUGGUGCGUAGAGACCGGUGAGAUCAAGCGGGAAUACAGCGGCCACCAGAAGGCCGUGGUGUGUCUGGCCUUUAAUGACAGCGUGCUCGGCUAAAGAGGACAAUGUUGGACACUCAGUGGAGAUACAAAACAGGACAGAAAAUGUUCGGUGUGACUAUUCUCAGACGGUGCACAUAAGUGUCGGAUCAGCAGGAGUGAUCGUCUCGACAACCCAGAAGCUUGUGUUUCAACGUCACAGUGACUCUCUGUGGCAGAUUCCUCGGCCCCCCCGCCUUCUCCUCAGUCACUCACUCCAACAUACUCUUAGACGAGAGGAAUUGGCUGCACUCCCCCACUGCAGACAAUGGACAAAGAGGUGAAGGCAGGCGCAGCUCGGAGAGUCUCUCUCAUCAGGUGAGAGGUGAUAUUCUGACUGCUGCUGCGUCCAGCCGACGAUGACAGCCCAAGGUGACUUUAAAGCACAGACAGGACUUAGAGGGAGCUUCAAUUUAAACUUAAAGCCACAGAGAGGUGAGUCAGAUUCAGCGGAAAUGGUUUGUUUUAUUGUGGCUUCAGAAGAGAUAGUGUUGCUAAGUCCAUACAUUAAUGUCACUGUGUUUCAGUUAGAAUAAUUAACACUGCAGACAUAAAAUAAAGUACAUGACAGAGCUGGGUAUCAUUGCACCAUCCUCUGAAUCUCAGUGCAGGCAUCAGCGCAUUCUGCUGAGGUCUUCAAAUAAGUUAAGGAACACAGAAAGCUCAAGUUUGACCAGUUCAGUGCGUCUUACUUGUCUUGUCUGCCUGUUAUUUAUAGACUUUGAACAGAUGUAAACCUGAGCGUGUAUUACCAAACUGUUGACACUGUGUGCUCGUUUCCCUUUUUGAGUUUGACUUGUAGUUGCUUAAGUGGAGAUUGCAUCACAGACAGAAUAAAGGCUUGUUGAGUACACAACUCUCCUUAAAAAAGGAACAUAAAUUCAGCUUUUUUUCGCCUCUUUAACACUUAAGUACAUUAAAACAAUACUGAGGCUUAUUGUUCUUCCGUUAUUUUCCAUUUAAAUUAUGUUAAAACUUGCUGUUUUAGUAAAAGACAAUAAAAUCUGAGGAGUGUCUCUAGAAACUUUGUUUCCUUUGUCACACAGCAGAUUACUGUUAUACAGAUGAUUUUAUCAUAUUGAUCUUAUAAAAUAAAAAAAUAUUCCUUUUUAAAAGACAGUGGACCCUGGCGUGUAAGCGGUUAGAUGAAUCUGUUAGAUCAUUUAGCAACAUGUCUCAGUCUUAUCCCUGCAGAGCUGGAAGGAGGUCCGCGAUGCUCUCCACAUAAUAAUCCGGCACCAUCCCCUGCUUCUCCGCACAGCCGCUCUUCUGGUGGGCUUCGGCGUCCGCCACGCUGUUGACCCCCGUCAGGGUGAGGAGGGUCUUCAGGCCGCAGUUGGAACCCAGCAUGAUGUCCGUGUCCAGACGGUCGCCGACCAUCAGGCAGCGUUCGCGCUCCACGCCGAACUGGGAGGCCACGCAGUCGAACAUGUAGUGGUUGGGUUUGCCCACCGUCUGGGCCUGACACUGGGCUGCCGUCUCCACGCACUGCAGCAGGCAGCCUGUACCUGAGGGGCAGAGGAGGAGGUGACUGUUUAGAUUUUUAUCCCUUAGAUUAGAGCAAUUUUACAUCACUGCUUUUGUCUGUAAAAAAAUUGUGUUUCAGAGGCAGCGUUAGGGCUGCACAAAAGACAGGAAAGAGAAUGGAACCAAAAUACUUUACAUUCCUAUUACCACACCUUUGAAAAUAUUACUCUGUAUUUCCUGGACAAAGGUUUUCAAGGAAGCAGACAAAUAUAAGAAGAUGAUAUGAGAGCAUGAUAAGCCGGUCUCCAUUCUCGUUUCAACUAUUCCAAUAUGCAACUUCCGAUCUGGUAGUUACAGGAAAAGUCAGGAGAGACCUAUGCUCAGUUUUUUUUUUCCCCACUUUUAAGGAAGCUUUAGUAUUGUUUGUGAAAACGUAAUAAAUGGAGAUUUAACUUCUUUUGUUGCAUGUAGACCAUAUUAGGCCAGGUCCGGAUGUAAACCACUACAUCUUGACGGGUCUAAUCUGUCCCCCUCCAGAGAGGUAGAGUAUAUUGUGAAAACUUCAUUCUAUGAGUGAAAAAAGGAGACCCGUGCUUUUGUUGCAUGUAGACCACAUUAGACCAGGUCCAGAUGUAAAACCACUACAUAGAGACUGGCCAAAUAUGGACUAGAUUGUCCUGCGAACACUACAGAUUGUUUAAAACACUGUCUCUGAUUCAUGAAAGUUUCAUUCUAGUUGUGAAAAUGCAAAAAGGGAGAGAUUUCGUUGAUUUUUUUGUACUAGAAAACAUUAGUCCAGGUCCAGAUCUAAGACCACAACUACUAUACAGGUACUGUCAAAUCUGGACUAGAUUAUGCUAGAGAGUCUUUAACAGGCAGUGUCUGAUUUCUGAAAGCUUCGUUUUGGUUGUGAAAAUCUUUUAAAUACCGUGUAUUGGAACAGUGGCCUUGAGUGAAAGUAAGUCUGCAGGGAGUGUUAAUCUGCUUAUGUGAGGUGUGGAUCUGUACCUGGCACAGCCUUCCCUCCCUCCAGAGGCAGCCUGGUGUCCCUGUUGGUCCCCACGAACAGACAGCCCUGCUGGGUCAGGUACUGCAGGGCCCGGUUCAGCUUCAUGUAGCUGAAGUGUUCAUCGAAACCCACCACCACCGCCUUCACCUCGGGGUCCAGGGGCACGUUGGCCCAGUCGGCCUGCUUCCCGGAGAUGAGGUCUGGUCCCACCCCGGUCUGCUGGAUGCCCACCGCCUCCAGCUCCUGCCUCAUUGCGUUGCUUCCUAUCAGGUACACUUUCCCGUCCACCUUGCAGACCGUCUUCAGGUACAUGGCGGAGCAGUACGCGGUGCCGAACACCUCCUCCUCCGUCACGUUGAAGCCCAGCGUGGUCAUCUUCUCGGCGUACAUCUUCCUGGUCUUGGUGCUGUUGUUGGUGACGAAGAAGACCUUCUUGCCGCUCUUCUUGAGCAGGUUGAUGACCUGCGGGGCUCCGGGGAUGGCCUGGUCCCCCCGCCAGAUCACCCCGUCGCAGUCGAACAGGACGCUGUCCACGGAGUCCAGCAGCUGCUUGACCAGAGCCCCGCUGAGCCGUGUGCACUUCGAGCCGGACAUGAGGGCGGUGGACGGAGCCGUUAAACACUGUCACACUGAAAACCAACACCAAACCGGUCGGUAUGUAUCGGUCCUGGACGUUACUUCACCCACAGAGUAAAGUCACGAAUGUUACGGUUGUCUAAAGCGGGGCAGCGGCGGAAAAUAAAACACCCAGCUGAACUCCAGCUAAUAGUAACAACCGGUCCAGACAACCGGUUCUGGUUU